RNAcentral lists this ribosomal RNA (418 nucleotides) under uncultured Actinomyces sp. RNAcentral describes it as "bacterial SSU rRNA". It matches the Rfam family "Bacterial small subunit ribosomal RNA", at positions 356 to 774 of the family's 1533-position model. The record is from RNAcentral. Lineage: Bacteria; Bacillati; Actinomycetota; Actinomycetes; Actinomycetales; Actinomycetaceae.
GGGGAAUUUUGCACAAUGGGCGAAAGCCUGAUGCAGCGACGCCGCGUGAGGGAUGGAGGCCUUCGGGUUGUGAACCUCUUUCGCUCAUGGUCAAGCCGCGAGUGUGCUCGUGGUGAGGGUAGUGGGUAAAGAAGCUCCGGCUAACUACGUGCCAGCAGCCGCGGUAAUACGUAGGGAGCGAGCGUUGUCCGGAAUUAUUGGGCGUAAAGGGCUUGUAGGCGGUUUGUCGCGUCUGCCGUGAAAUUCCUUGGCUUAACUGGGGGAGUGCGGUGGGUACGGGCAGGCUUGAGUGCGGUAGGGGAGACUGGAAUUCCUGGUGUAGCGGUGGAAUGCGCAGAUAUCAGGAGGAACACCGGUGGCGAAGGCGGGUCUCUGGGCCGUUACUGACGCUGAGGAGCGAAAGCGUGGGGAGCGAACA